Molecule: ribosomal RNA, 441 nt
Filed under: uncultured bacterium
Lineage: Bacteria
Description: partial 16S ribosomal RNA
Rfam family: Bacterial small subunit ribosomal RNA
Source: RNAcentral
CCUACGGGAGGCAGCAGUGGGGAAUAUUGCACAAUGGGGGAAACCCUGAUGCAGCGACGCCGCGUGAGUGAAGAAGUAAUUCGUUAUGUAAAGCUCUAUCAGUAGGGAAGAAAAUGACGGUACGUGAGUAAGAAGCCCCGGCUAACAAAGUGCCAGCAGCCGCGGGAAUACGUAGGGGGCAAGCGUUAUCCGGAUUUACCGGGUGUAAAGGGAGCGUAGACGGCAGUGCAAGUCUGGAGUGAAAGGCGGGGGCUCAACCCCCGGACUGCUCUGGAAACUGUACGGCUGGAUGGCAGGAGAGGUAAGUGGAAUUCCUAGUGUAGCGGUGAAAUGGGUAGAUAUUAGGAGGAACACCAGUGGCGAAGGCGGCUUACUGAACUGUAACUGACGUUGAGGCUCGAAAGCGUGGGGAGCAAACAGGAUUAGAUACCCCGAGUAGUC